AUUUUGGUUAGUUUGAUUAAUAUGUGUCUUGGUUGUAUUCCUCCUUGGGUUUAUUUUAUAUGGUACUCAUUGUGCUUGCUGGAUUUGAGUGAGUGGUUCCUUUCCCAUGUUAGGGAAAUUUUCGGCUAUUAUCUCUUCGAAUAUUUUUUCUGUCCCCUUCUCUCUCUCUUCUCCUCUGGCACCCCUAUAAUACGGGUGUUGUUGCGUUUCAUGUUGUCCCAGAUUUCUCUGGGACUCUCUUCAUUUGAUUUCAGUCUUUUUUCUCUUUUCUGUUCUGCGUCCAUAAUUUCCACUAAUCUGUCCUCCACAUCGCUUAUUCGUUCUUCUGCCUCCUGUAUUCUGCUGUUAGCUGCCUCUAGUGAAUUUUUUAUUUCAGUGAUUGUAUUUUGCAUCUCUUCUAGUUUAAGUUUUAUAUCUUGUAUCUCUUUGGUCAGUGUUUCCUCUAAGUUAUCCUUCUUUGCCUCCAGUUUUUUUCCAAUGUCUUGCAUCAUCUUCAGCAUCAACAAUCUAAAGUCUUUUUCCUAGAGGCUGAGAAUCUCCUGAUCAGUUAGCUGAUUUUCUGGGGUUUUUCCUUUCUGCCUCAUCUGAGUUAUAGUUCUCUGUCUUUCCAUUUUUAUAGGUUUUUGGUGUGGUGACCUUUUUACAGAUACUAGAGUUGUAGCCUCUCUUACUUCUGAUGCCUGCCCCCCUUGUGGCUGAAGUCAAUAUGGGGGCUUGCUGUAGGGUUCCUGAUGGGAGGGGCUGAUGCCUGCCCACUGGUAGGUGGAGCUGAUUCCUAUCCCUCUGGUGGGUGGGGCUUAGUCUCUGGAUGGGAUUAGAGGCAGCUGUGUGCCUGAGGGGUCUUUAGGUAGCCUGUUUACUUAUGGGUGGGGCUGUGAUCCCACCUGGGUUGUUGUUUGCCCUGGGGCUUCUCAGCACUGACUGAUGGGUGGGGCCAGAUUUUUCCAAAAUGGUCACCUCCAGAGGAAGGCAUGCUGCUGAAUAUUCCCGAGAGCUUUGCCUUCAAUGUCCUUCCCUCACAACAAGCCACGUUCACCCCUGCUUUCCCAGGAUGUCCUCCAAGAACUGCAGUCAAGUUUGACCCAGAUUCCUAUGGAGAUCUCUCUGUGCCCUGGGACCCAGUGCACGUGAACAUCCGUGUGCACUGGGAUGGGGUCUCCAUUUCCCCCAGUCCUGUGGAGCUCCUGUGCACAAGCCCCACUGGCCUUCAAUGCCAGAUGCUCCAGGGGCUCUUUCUCCCAGUGCUGGAUCCCUGCACGUGAUGCUUUGAUGUGGGGCUCAGAACCAGUUAGUUUUCAGUCUGUGGAGCUUCCCAUCGGGGAGGUAUGGGGUUGUUUAUAUCGUGAAAUCGCCCCUCCUACCUCUUGCUGUGGCCUCCUCUUUGUCUUCUGGAGUAGGAUAUCUUUUUUGGUUUCCGGUCCAUUUGGGUGGAGAUUGCUCAGUCUUUAGUUGUGAAUUUUGUUGUUUUUAGGAGAGAAGUUGAGUUCCAGUACUUCUAUCCCACCAUCUUAAUCCUGUCUCCCCAAAUGCAAUUUUUAAAAAAUAAUUUAAUUAAUAGCCAAUCAGUGGAAUAAAUAAUCUCCACAACUCCAAGCCAGAAACAAGGUUAAAAGUGGAAAUGUUCAAAGCAUCUUGCUGUAAUAAAACCAGGUUGGUAUUCAUAUCUCUGUCAUGGAUUCUCAGUAUGUGGGGUCGACUGUGGGUUCCCUGAAAUCAGCCAUCAUUGAGUGGGGAAGCACCAAACUGGCUCAUCACAGAGACUACUGGACCUAUCAGAACCCUGCCUGGCUUUUGGGGAGGCUUGUGUUGCUCACACUAAGCCACUGCCUUCCUGAGACAGUGUCUAAGCACCUUGAUGAGUCUCAAAGAAAGAUGUGAGCACAUGUGUGCUUCAUUGGACACAGCCAGUGCUCCUGGGUCUGUCUGCUACCACCCUAAUAGUAAAAAUGGCAAAUAUUUUUCUUACUCAAAAUUUCCUAUUAUAUGCAUUUUUGUAUUGGAGACUUCAUGGUAUUAAAAGGUGCUGUUGGAUUACGUUACUUCUUGUGUGUUGAGCUGAGAAUAAAGCUUCUCUGACUACUUUUGAGCAUUUACAGUGCCUUAAAAAAUACAUUUGUUCAGCAGUUUCUCCCUCUACAUGAAUUUUGAUUUUAUGCUCAGUCUUUAUUGUUGUGAAUAUUUAUUCAUGUGUUUGACCCACCCAGCCCUGUGAGAAUAUUCUAGUCAGACUGUUAUUUUUAGACCUAAGCCUUGCAAUAGCACACCUUAGAGGUGCAGGCACAGCAGCUGGGUGCCUGCCCUCAGAAUCUUUAUGUAUAAUUGCAUUGUAGUAAGUAAUACAUAAUGCCUGGAGUGGAGAUAAUAUAAUACUGUAAUUACUUUUGUAUUUAGGUUAAGUUUAGAUGCUCUUUUUCUUGUAUUUGACUAUUUUAUAUUUGACAAUGUUACUGGACAUUUUCCGUUGUUUCUUUUUUUUUGGUCUAACUUUUAUCAAAAAUUUUUUCUUAUAGGAGAGGUAAAAUAAUAACAUUUGAAACCAAAAGUAUAUUUUUGGUUAUAAACAGAAAAUUAAAAAUACCAUUUGAUGCUGGAGAGGGUAUGGAGAAAAGGGGACUUUCCUACAUGGUUGGUUGGAAUAAGAAUUGGUACAGCCACUAUGAAAAUAGUAUGGAGGUUCCUCAAAAAACUGAAAAUAGAAUUGCCAUAUGAUCCAGCAAUCCCAUUCCUGGGCAUAUAUGUAGAUAAAACUAUAACUCAAAAAGAUAGGUGCACUCCUGUGUUUAUAGCAGCACUAUUUACAGUAGCCAAGACAUGGAAACAACGUAAAUGCUUGUGGACAGAUGAAUGAAUACAAAAGAUGUUGUGUGCAUGUAUAAUGGAAUACUACUCAGCCAUAAAGAGAAAUGAAAUAAUGCCACUUGCAGCAACAUGGAUGGUCAUGCUAAAUGAAGUAAUUCAGACAGAGAAAGGCAAAUACCAUAUGAUUUCACUUAAAUGUGGAAUCUAAAAUAUGACACAAUUGAACCUAUUUAUAGAACAGAAACAAACUGACAGAUGUAGAGAACUGACUUGUGUUUUCCGAUGUAAGGGCUGGAUGAGGGAUGGAUUGGGAGUUUGGGAUUAGAAGAUGCAAACUGUUAUAUACGUGUGUGUGUGCUUAUGUGCAUGUAUAUAUACAUACAUGUAUAUAUACAUAUAUAUAUCUGAAUCACUUUGCUGUACACCAGAAACUGACACACACUGUAUGUUAACUACAAUAAAAAAAUUUUAAUACAAUUUGAUGAUGGAUGUGAUGAGAAUGAUUAGGCUGAAUAAAAUAUGAUAAAGUGUAGCAUAAGCUAACUUUACAACUAAUGUUAAAUACUUUGAAAACAGACUAGUGAGAGCAUUUAAAAAAAAAAAAAAAAAAAAAAAAGCCUUAGGUUGUAAUGUGAAUUACAGUUCACACUGCCCUUAGAUUUAGCCAAGAGGGGCGUCUUUUGUGGUUCCCAUGCUUUAGAGGGUCCUAUUGUUGUAUCCCUCUCCAUGGAGCAAACAAGUCCUUGGAAUCAAAGAGUUAAACCCAGCUGAUGCCCGCAAUCUCUUUCAGACUGUCCUUUAGGUAUUCAGGUUCCCAGAAUUGCCUGCCCUCAAGCACACUUCUGUGAUCUGUUUGGGGACCUUACCUGGAUCCAUCCAUUUGAAGCAGUUCUAUACUGUUGAUGUGUAUACCCAUAGGACUGAGGGAUGGCCCAGGGGUGACUAUUGGGUGACUGCAGAGCUUUGACGUGCAGUCAGGUGACCAUACACACCCAUGAAAAGCCCCUUGGGUGUGGAAGGAGGCAGUGAUGGGCGGAGGAGGAGGUUGGACUGCAGAACGUGUUGUUCUCAUGCCACUGUGUGCCAGAGCAGAACUCUGAGGAGUCCAGAAUCCUAAGUUCAGACUGGCUAUCCAGAUCCUUAUAAAAGUGUAUUUGGCAAGGUAAGAAAUAGAAAGUAUUUUAUUUAAAAACUCAUUAUCAUUUUCAAUAACUUUAAAAUAUUUAGAAAUACAAUGUUUGGGCCUUCCUUUAUAUUCUUGUUCCAGGUCCUAUAAAUGUCAAAGGUGUGCCUGUAUAUGAUUAAAUUCAAAUCAUUCUUACAACAAUCCUAUAGGGGGGUACUGUCAUUUUCUUUACUUUGUAGAAGAAGAAACUGAGGCACAAAAAAGAUUAAACAACCACCUAAGGCCACACAGCUAGUGAGCCAGGCAUGGAAUGGCUUUGACUUCCUAAAGUACCUUCUCUUAACCACAAUAGUAUGCUGAUUCCUUAAAAAAUGUGUCAACAAUUCUCACAGAAAAUUCCUGGAUGACAAGAAAGUAAAUGCUAGUAAUUCAUUGGGAUUCACCUUCUAUGUAAUAAAAAUUGCCUAAAUCUGUGAUAUAUUUUAUGUUGUUAAAUCAGUAAAUAUUAUUAUAUUUCCUGCAGUUACAAUGUAAUUUUGAGAGAAAAUAUUCAGAGCAUAAAAUUAGGGCUCUUAACUUCUUUUUAUCAUUUACUGGACAGUUUAACAUUAUGUAUAUACACAUAUAUAUAUAUGUGCUUAUGUCUUUCAAAAGAUAUAACAAUGCUUAUGCCUUUUGAAACUGUAUUGGAUAAUUCCAUAUAAAUUCUUGAUUUAUUAGGCAUAAUCUUAAAUUGAAGAUCUUUCAGUUUUCUAUAACAAAAUUGUCAAUAAAUUCCAGGAAUUUCCCUUUUCAUGCUAAUUUGAUAAAUGCUUUGUGGCAAGGUACUGAAGUAUUUCAAAUGAGAACAGUAUCUUUUUUUGCAUAUCUUCUAAUGAAGUAAAUCCUUUGGGUAACUACUCCUUAAACAAGGUUGCAUCAUCUUGCAUAUCCUACCAAUACCUUUAAAGAGCUGAGCUGAUUUAAUUUGGCAAAGCUUUUCUUACAGCUGCCAGUAGUGUCAGAAAAAAAAUUGAAACACCUGAAACUAACAUUAAAACAAAAUAAAAAUGACUGUUUCAAGACAUUGAACAGAUAUAUGACAGAUAAAUACUAAAGUAUCUGAAAGUUUAAAAAUAUACCUUGACCAUUUCAUGGUAUUACAAAUAUAUUUAAACUUUAUUUCUUGCCUAAUAGCAAAUAUCUUGCCCCACCAAAGAAUUUGUCUACUCUCUUCAAAUUGGGUACUUAGACUAGAGAAAUAUGAAUUUAUAAGCCUUGUAAUACGACUUAGAAACAAACUUUACUUUCAAAUGUUCUUUUAAGCUUUGAAUCUAUUUAGUUGAAUAAUAUGUCUGUGUGAUUCAGAAUUUUCUUGAUACAGUGUAACUAAGGCAAAACAUAGAAAUAGAUGUUGGGGUUGUAACUGCAGCAAUAACUGUUCUCAUUGAUUGAUAUGAUAAUGUGUAAGUUAUAAAUUUGAAACUUUUAUCAUAUUGUAUUUAUAAAAUAUUUUUAUGUUAUUUAUGAGUUCUCAGUGGAGAUUUUUCACUAAAAAUAUGGCUUUGCUGUUCAAAUAUUGGUUGAGAAAAUAGACACCAAAGAGAGGAUAUGCAGAUGUUUAGGCAGGAACUGCUGAGGGCCAGAAGCAGAGUCAAGGGGUAGGAAUAGGAAGGAAAGGAAGUUGAAGCAUAGGAGCCUGAUGAGGUCCCCGCAUAAUUGCCUGUCUAGGAAACAUGCCCCGUGUAACUCUCUUCCUGCAGCUAUCUAUUGAUCUGUCAUAAUUUACCCAGAGAAGAUUAGACAAUCACUAAAGGGAAUCACCACUUUUAUUCUAAGACCCAGUACUGUACAUAAUGUGUAAAAUCCCUUUCUUCUAGGCUGGGUGACCAUUUGAACAUGUAGAAUUACAAAAAGAAAACAAUCAGAUCCAUCAUUUCUAGAUGAAUGAUUAUGAUAACUCUAUCACGCCUUCCUUCCUCUUUAUUCACACUUGUUUUUUUGUUAGCA
Molecule: long non-coding RNA, 5914 nt
Filed under: Sus scrofa (pig)
Lineage: Eukaryota; Metazoa; Chordata; Mammalia; Artiodactyla; Suidae
Description: lncRNA (ENSSSCG00045011071.1)
Source: RNAcentral